UUUAUGGAGAGUUUGAUCCUGGCUCAGGAUGAACGCUGGCGGCGUGCCUAAUACAUGCAAGUCGAGCGAACGGACGAGAAGCUUGCUUCUCUGAUGUUAGCGGCGGACGGGUGAGUAACACGUGGAUAACCUACCUAUAAGACUGGGAUAACUUCGGGAAACCGGAGCUAAUACCGGAUAAUAUUUUGAACCGCAUGGUUCAAAAGUGAAAGACGGUCUUGCUGUCACUUAUAGAUGGAUCCGCGCUGCAUUAGCUAGUUGGUAAGGUAACGGCUUACCAAGGCAACGAUGCAUAGCCGACCUGAGAGGGUGAUCGGCCACACUGGAACUGAGACACGGUCCAGACUCCUACGGGAGGCAGCAGUAGGGAAUCUUCCGCAAUGGGCGAAAGCCUGACGGAGCAACGCCGCGUGAGUGAUGAAGGUCUUCGGAUCGUAAAACUCUGUUAUUAGGGAAGAACAUAUGUGUAAGUAACUGUGCACAUCUUGACGGUACCUAAUCAGAAAGCCACGGCUAACUACGUGCCAGCAGCCGCGGUAAUACGUAGGUGGCAAGCGUUAUCCGGAAUUAUUGGGCGUAAAGCGCGCGUAGGCGGUUUUUUAAGUCUGAUGUGAAAGCCCACGGCUCAACCGUGGAGGGUCAUUGGAAACUGGAAAACUUGAGUGCAGAAGAGGAAAGUGGAAUUCCAUGUGUAGCGGUGAAAUGCGCAGAGAUAUGGAGGAACACCAGUGGCGAAGGCGACUUUCUGGUCUGUAACUGACGCUGAUGUGCGAAAGCGUGGGGAUCAAACAGGAUUAGAUACCCUGGUAGUCCACGCCGUAAACGAUGAGUGCUAAGUGUUAGGGGGUUUCCGCCCCUUAGUGCUGCAGCUAACGCAUUAAGCACUCCGCCUGGGGAGUACGACCGCAAGGUUGAAACUCAAAGGAAUUGACGGGGACCCGCACAAGCGGUGGAGCAUGUGGUUUAAUUCGAAGCAACGCGAAGAACCUUACCAAAUCUUGACAUCCUUUGACAACUCUAGAGAUAGAGC
RNAcentral lists this ribosomal RNA (1030 nucleotides) under Staphylococcus aureus. RNAcentral's name for it is "bacterial SSU rRNA". It matches the Rfam family "Bacterial small subunit ribosomal RNA", at positions 1 to 1012 of the family's 1533-position model. The record is from RNAcentral. RNAcentral also lists the same sequence under 1 other name. Lineage: Bacteria; Bacillati; Bacillota; Bacilli; Caryophanales; Staphylococcaceae.